CAAAUAUCCAUCAAGCAAAGUUAAGAUGAGAGAAAUGAAAAGAGGCAGGAUACUCUGUAACUCAACUGCUCUCAAUAUAAUUAGAUUUUGACUGAAAUACAAUGAGAAAAUUGUAUUCUGUUAACUUGGAUUUCCUUUUUCUUCUGCUCAGCCUACCUCUUACUACUCCUCCCUUUGCUCAUUCUUCUAGAAACACUGGCUUGUGAACCACUUCUUAACCAUGCCAGUUUUGCUUCCAACCCAGGCUUUUGAACUUGCUGUUUUCUUUUGCCUGGAACCAUUCUUCCCAUAAUUAUUUCCAUGGCUCAUUUCCUCGUUUCUUUCAGGACUGGACUCAAAUGUCACCUGCUUAGAGAAGACUUAUUUGACUUACUACUUAAGUUUUCCCAUUUUCUAGCAUUCCUUAUCUUCUUUUCCUGCUUUAUUUUUUUCUAUAGCACUUACAACCAUCUAGUGGAUUUUAAUAUACAUCUCCCCUAGCCCAUGACAGAAAGAAAACUACAGGAAGACAGUUCACAGGUUCCAGGAUAACCAGAUGACUGAGGAAUGUUGAAGAUUGCAGUGAUGGAAGUGUCUCAGUCAGCCUGGAAGACUGUAUGGAAGGAGGUUGCCUGGCCACACUGUCAUGUCCCCCUCUCCCUAAAAAAGGGACACAUUUGCCUUUGUGCAAGGCAACACAUACAUUUGGUCUGUGUAUAUACUUUGGUCUAUGUAUUCUGUUAUUUAACAUUCUAAUAAUGUUGAUGACCUUAAAAUAUGUUUGACAAUGAUCCUUGUAAAUCAUUAUUAUUCUGCCUUCUGCAAGAUAAGAAUUAUGGGCCAGGUAUGGCACUUAACGCCUAUAAUACAAACAUUUUGGGAGGCCCAGGCAGGAGGAUUGCUUGAGCUCAGGAGUUAGAGACCAGCUUGGGCAACAUAGUGAGACCUCAUCUCUACUAAAAAUAAAACAAAAAAAGUUAUGAUAGUGACACUGCACUCCAGCCUGGGUGACAGAGCAAGAUCCUGUAUCCAAAUAAAUAAAUGCCUAAUAUAGGAAUUAUCAAAUUCAACACAUAUUAAUUAUUUUCAUAUCCAUUUGUGGAAAAUAAUAACGUGGGGAUUAUUCUUAAAAAGGCUUCUGGAAGUGGCUUCUUCAAUUAAAUAUAUUCAAAACUGAUUCCCGCUUACUACGCAAAUCAAAGAGGAAUUGAAAAUGUGUGUGAUUCCCACUAAAUAAUUUUCCUUUUGUAUGACUUGAUGUUACUAUCUUUGUGGAGUGGCUGAGGAAUGUCUCCUUCUUGCCUUUGUCUUCAAAGGCUCUGCCAAUGUGAAGUA
RNAcentral lists this long non-coding RNA (1314 nucleotides) under Homo sapiens (human). Its description in RNAcentral is "HSALNT0403615". The record is from RNAcentral. Lineage: Eukaryota; Metazoa; Chordata; Mammalia; Primates; Hominidae.